This 1530-nucleotide ribosomal RNA is filed under the name Escherichia coli. RNAcentral's name for it is "bacterial SSU rRNA". It matches the Rfam family "Bacterial small subunit ribosomal RNA". The record is from RNAcentral. Lineage: Bacteria; Pseudomonadati; Pseudomonadota; Gammaproteobacteria; Enterobacterales; Enterobacteriaceae. RNAcentral also lists the same sequence under 16 other names.
AGAGUUUGAUCAUGGCUCAGAUUGAACGCUGGCGGCAGGCCUAACACAUGCAAGUCGAACGGUAACAGGAAGAAGCUUGCUUCUUUGCUGACGAGUGGCGGACGGGUGAGUAAUGUCUGGGAAACUGCCUGAUGGAGGGGGAUAACUACUGGAAACGGUAGCUAAUACCGCAUAACGUCGCAAGACCAAAGAGGGGGACCUUCGGGCCUCUUGCCAUCGGAUGUGCCCAGAUGGGAUUAGCUUGUUGGUGGGGUAACGGCUCACCAAGGCGACGAUCCCUAGCUGGUCUGAGAGGAUGACCAGCCACACUGGAACUGAGACACGGUCCAGACUCCUACGGGAGGCAGCAGUGGGGAAUAUUGCACAAUGGGCGCAAGCCUGAUGCAGCCAUGCCGCGUGUAUGAAGAAGGCCUUCGGGUUGUAAAGUACUUUCAGCGGGGAGGAAGGGAGUAAAGUUAAUACCUUUGCUCAUUGACGUUACCCGCAGAAGAAGCACCGGCUAACUCCGUGCCAGCAGCCGCGGUAAUACGGAGGGUGCAAGCGUUAAUCGGAAUUACUGGGCGUAAAGCGCACGCAGGCGGUUUGUUAAGUCAGAUGUGAAAUCCCCGGGCUCAACCUGGGAACUGCAUCUGAUACUGGCAAGCUUGAGUCUCGUAGAGGGGGGUAGAAUUCCAGGUGUAGCGGUGAAAUGCGUAGAGAUCUGGAGGAAUACCGGUGGCGAAGGCGGCCCCCUGGACGAAGACUGACGCUCAGGUGCGAAAGCGUGGGGAGCAAACAGGAUUAGAUACCCUGGUAGUCCACGCCGUAAACGAUGUCGACUUGGAGGUUGUGCCCUUGAGGCGUGGCUUCCGGAGCUAACGCGUUAAGUCGACCGCCUGGGGAGUACGGCCGCAAGGUUAAAACUCAAAUGAAUUGACGGGGGCCCGCACAAGCGGUGGAGCAUGUGGUUUAAUUCGAUGCAACGCGAAGAACCUUACCUGGUCUUGACAUCCACGGAAGUUUUCAGAGAUGAGAAUGUGCCUUCGGGAACCGUGAGACAGGUGCUGCAUGGCUGUCGUCAGCUCGUGUUGUGAAAUGUUGGGUUAAGUCCCGCAACGAGCGCAACCCUUAUCCUUUGUUGCCAGCGGUCCGGCCGGGAACUCAAAGGAGACUGCCAGUGAUAAACUGGAGGAAGGUGGGGAUGACGUCAAGUCAUCAUGGCCCUUACGACCAGGGCUACACACGUGCUACAAUGGCGCAUACAAAGAGAAGCGACCUCGCGAGAGCAAGCGGACCUCAUAAAGUGCGUCGUAGUCCGGAUUGGAGUCUGCAACUCGACUCCAUGAAGUCGGAAUCGCUAGUAAUCGUGGAUCAGAAUGCCACGGUGAAUACGUUCCCGGGCCUUGUACACACCGCCCGUCACACCAUGGGAGUGGGUUGCAAAAGAAGUAGGUAGCUUAACCUUCGGGAGGGCGCUUACCACUUUGUGAUUCAUGACUGGGGUGAAGUCGUAACAAGGUAACCGUAGGGGAACCUGCGGUUGGAUCACCU